This 729-nucleotide long non-coding RNA is filed under the name Helianthus annuus (common sunflower). RNAcentral's name for it is "hypothetical non coding rna". Lineage: Eukaryota; Viridiplantae; Streptophyta; Magnoliopsida; Asterales; Asteraceae. The record is from RNAcentral.
GCAAAUUGCAAUCUUUUUUCCCUUUCUUUAUCUACACUACAUUCACACACUCUUAACCAUCGAUCACCGGUCACCACCCAACCUCACAACUACUACCAUAACCAGUCACAAUGGCCAUAAAAAAGGUUCCUUGCGAAAUAUAUGCAUUCAACAUUAGCUUAGAAGAAAGCCUAAGUCACAGCAAACCCUUGUUAUAAACAACAAAAUUAUCUCACCAUUCCAGCCAACAUGCAACCAUGAUUUCGACAAUAAGCGCUUUUGUAACAAUUACCCCCACUGAACAGUGAGUGCUUUGUAAUCCCAGUACUCCCUGGGCCGAACAACGUUGAUGUUAGUGUAGACUCGAUAUUUGGAUAUGUCGGUUACAUGCGUUAAAUCGUUAAUGGAAGACGGCGGCGACAUGUUCACUAUGAUGGGGUUGUUUGUGCGGAGGUGGGUGGUGGUGUUUUUGGGGAGAUGAUAGUGUACAAAUAGAGGGUGAAGGUGGUUGCAGAUUUUUGGAGUGUGGCGGUGCUACGGCGAUGACAAAUGUUACCAGAAGUAGGUGGUGGUGGGUUGGGGGUUGUAGGUGCUGUCGGAAGUAGGUAGAUGGUGUUUGGGGUUGUAGGUGCUGCCGGAAGUAGGUGGUGGUGUUGCAUUGGGGCGAUGGUUUGGUGUUGUUUGAAAGAGAUAACAUUUGUUAUUAUUUUUAACAUGGUGGUAAAGUAAUAAUUUCACUACCUGUUUAAC